RNAcentral lists this ribosomal RNA (460 nucleotides) under uncultured bacterium. Its description in RNAcentral is "bacterial SSU rRNA". It matches the Rfam family "Bacterial small subunit ribosomal RNA", at positions 31 to 507 of the family's 1533-position model. The record is from RNAcentral.
GAACGCUGGCGGCGUGCCUAACACAUGCAAGUCGAACGGAGUUAAGACUUCGGUUUUAACUUAGUGGCGAACGGGUGAGUAACGCGUGAGGAACCUGCCUUUCAGUGGGGGACAACAGUUGGAAACGACUGCUAAUACCGCAUAACGUAUACGGACGGCAUCGUCUGUAUACCAAAGGAGCAAUCCGCUGAAAGAUGGGCUCGCGUCCGAUUAGCUGGAUGGUGAGGUAACGGCCCACCAUGGCGACGAUCGGUAGCCGGACUGAGAGGUUGAUCGGCCACAUUGGGACUGAGACACGGCCCAGACUCCUACGGGAGGCAGCAGUGAGGGAUAUUGGGCAAUGGGGGCAACCCUGACCCAGCGACGCCGCGUGAGGGAUGACGGUCUUCGGAUUGUAAACCUCUGUCUUCGGGGACGAAAAAGGACGGUACCCGAGGAGGAAGCUCCGGCUAACUACGUG